CCUACGGGAGGCAGCAGUAGGGAAUAUUGCUCAAUGGGGGAAACCCUGAAGCAGCAACGCCGCGUGGAGGAUGAAGGUUUUCGGAUUGUAAACUCCUUUUGUUAGAGAAGAUAAUGACGGUAUCUAACGAAUAAGCACCGGCUAACUCCGUGCCAGCAGCCGCGGUAAUACGGGGGGUGCAAGCGUUACUCGGAAUCACUGGGCGUAAAGAGCGCGUAGGCGGGAUAGCAAGUCAGAUGUGAAAUCCUAUGGCUUAACCAUAGAACUGCAUUUGAAACUGUUAUUCUAGAGUAUGGGAGGGGUAGAUGGAAUUCUUGGUGUAGGGGUAAAAUGCGUAGAGAUCAAGAGGAACUCUCAUUGCGAAGGCGAUCUGCGGGAACAAAACUGACGCUGAUGCGCGAAAGUGUGGGGAGCAAACAGGAUUAGAUACCCCUGUAGUC
RNAcentral lists this ribosomal RNA (440 nucleotides) under uncultured bacterium. RNAcentral describes it as "partial 16S ribosomal RNA". It matches the Rfam family "Bacterial small subunit ribosomal RNA", at positions 338 to 795 of the family's 1533-position model. The record is from RNAcentral.